Alexandromys fortis (reed vole) is the source of this 397-nucleotide long non-coding RNA. RefSeq lists it as uncharacterized. NCBI's taxonomy places the organism in Eukaryota, Metazoa, Chordata, Mammalia, Rodentia, Cricetidae. The record is from RefSeq and is a predicted model, not a curated record. The transcript has 3 exons.
AGAAACUGCCUUGGCCCAUUUUAUUGGAUAGAAAAUUAGGUAGGCGGAGUAGACAGAAGAGAAUUCUGGGAAAAAGAAGCUGAGUAAGAGUCGCCAUGAUGCUCCCACUCCAGACAGACGCAGGUUAAGAUCCUCCCUGUGGUCCCUGAGCCUUUGGCGCAGGAGUUGUUACACGGACAUCAUCAGUUGGGACUGUUCCACAUCCCUGUAUUUUGAUUGAAGAACCAGAAUCUUGUGUGUCUUCCUCCUGCCCUGCGUUUCUGAAGGCCAUCCGCAGGGGAGGGGCAAUUUUAAGAGAUCAUGUUAAGAUCCUGCUGGAAGUUUCUGUGCCAAUAAAGAUGCACCAUCCCACGAUGCCUCUGUGAAUAACGAGACCCCGAAGAGGAACACAUCAUCC